GCCUACAUGGUGUAGCAGUUGCACACUUGCCACGUAUUCAAAAGAUCCAGGUUCGAGUCCUGGUGAGGGCA
RNAcentral lists this transfer RNA (71 nucleotides) under Stegodyphus mimosarum. It matches the Rfam family "tRNA". From Rfam's summary of the family: Transfer RNA (tRNA) molecules are approximately 80 nucleotides in length. Their secondary structure includes four short double-helical elements and three loops (D, anti-codon, and T loops). The record is from Rfam by way of RNAcentral. Lineage: Eukaryota; Metazoa; Arthropoda; Arachnida; Araneae; Eresidae.